Molecule: ribosomal RNA, 468 nt
Filed under: uncultured bacterium
Lineage: Bacteria
Description: partial 16S ribosomal RNA
Rfam family: Bacterial small subunit ribosomal RNA
Source: RNAcentral
AACGAACGCUGGCGGCGGGCUUAACACAUGCAAGUCGAACGGCAACGCACUACUUGCUUGGUCUUCCGGGGGGCCAGACGGGUAAGUAACAGGUAUAUAACCGGCCCUACUCUUUGGUAGAACUUAAGGUAACUGGACUUACUCUCGUACCGCAGCCCCCCUUCCAUGGAGGGGGGUGGAUCUUUUCGGCGGGCGGGGAUGGAUGCGCGGCUUACCAGCUAGUUGGUUGGGGAGUGGCAUACCAAGGCAUAGACUGGUCGCCGGCCUGAGAGGGUGGCCGGCCACAUUGGGACUGAGAUACGGCCCAGAGUCCUACGGGAGGCAGCAGUGGGGAAUAUUGUACAAUGGGCGGAAGCCUGAUGAAGCAACGCCGCGUGCGGGAUGACGGCCUUCGGGUUGUAAACCGCUUUCGCCUGUGACGAAGCGUGAGUGACGGUAGUGGGUAAAGAAGCACCGGCUAACUACGUG